GCAGUGAAUAGGCCCAGGCGACUGUUUAGCAAAAACACAGGUCUCUGCAAAACCGUAAGGUGACGUAUAGGGGCUGACGCCUGCCCGGUGCUGGAAGGUUAAGAGGAGUGCUUAGCUUCGGCGAAGGGACGAAUUGAAGCCCCAGUAAACGGCGGCCGUAACUAUAACGGUCCUAAGGUAGCGAAAUUCCUUGUCGGGUAAGUUCCGACCCGCACGAAAGGCGCAACGAUCUGGGCACUGUCUCAACGAGAGACU
This 255-nucleotide ribosomal RNA is filed under the name Listeria monocytogenes. RNAcentral's name for it is "partial 23S ribosomal RNA". It matches the Rfam family "Bacterial large subunit ribosomal RNA", at positions 1779 to 2033 of the family's 2925-position model. The record is from RNAcentral. Lineage: Bacteria; Bacillati; Bacillota; Bacilli; Caryophanales; Listeriaceae.